RNAcentral lists this signal recognition particle RNA (97 nucleotides) under Reinekea blandensis MED297. RNAcentral describes it as "Bacterial small signal recognition particle RNA". It matches the Rfam family "Bacterial small signal recognition particle RNA". Rfam says of the family: The signal recognition particle (SRP) is a universally conserved ribonucleoprotein involved in the co-translational targeting of proteins to membranes. Archaeal SRP consists of a 7S RNA and homologues of the eukaryotic SRP19 and SRP54 proteins. In most bacteria, the SRP consists of a 4.5S RNA and the Ffh protein (a homologue of the eukaryotic SRP54 protein). The record is from Rfam by way of RNAcentral. Lineage: Bacteria; Pseudomonadati; Pseudomonadota; Gammaproteobacteria; Oceanospirillales; Saccharospirillaceae. RNAcentral also lists the same sequence under 1 other name.
UGCCGGUCCCCUCGCAACGAGAAGACGUAAACCCCGCCAGGCCCGGAAGGGAGCAACGGUAGCGUCUGUAUCGUGUGCCGGGGUGUGGCUGGUGGGA